GGGGUGAAGUCGUAACAAGGUAACCGUAGGGGAACCUGCGGUUGGAUCACCUCCUUACCUUAAAGAA
RNAcentral lists this ribosomal RNA (67 nucleotides) under Citrobacter freundii. RNAcentral's name for it is "partial 16S ribosomal RNA". The stretch from base 1 to 57 matches the Rfam family "Bacterial small subunit ribosomal RNA", at positions 1477 to 1533 of the family's 1533-position model. The record is from RNAcentral. RNAcentral also lists the same sequence under 26 other names. Lineage: Bacteria; Pseudomonadati; Pseudomonadota; Gammaproteobacteria; Enterobacterales; Enterobacteriaceae.